UCCAGUUUAACACUGGCAGUCCCUCUAGAGUGCCCAACUUAAUGAUGGCAACAAGAGGCGUGGGUUGCGCUCGUUACGGGACUUAACCCAACAUCUCACGACACGAGCUGACGACAGCCAUGCAGCACCUGUCUCUCAGUCCCCUUGCGGGGAAAGCCGACUUUCAUCGGUUAUCCGAGGAUGUCAAGACCAGGAUAAGGUUCUUCGCGUUGCGUCGAAUUGAACCACAUGCUCCACUGCUUGUGCGGGUCCCCGUCAAUUUCUUUGAGUUUUAAUCUUGCGACCGUACUCCCCAGGCGGGAUGCUUAACGCGUUAGCUUCGUUACUGCGAGUGUUUACUCUCUCAACAACAAGCAUCCAUCGUUUACAGCGUGGACUAC
This 380-nucleotide unclassified non-coding RNA is filed under the name uncultured Pseudobdellovibrionaceae bacterium. Its description in RNAcentral is "uncultured Bdellovibrionaceae bacterium contains 16S-23S intergenic spacer region". Lineage: Bacteria; Pseudomonadati; Bdellovibrionota; Bdellovibrionia; Bdellovibrionales; Pseudobdellovibrionaceae. The record is from RNAcentral.